AGUGAACGCUGGCGGCGUGCUUAACACAUGCAAGUCGAACGAGAACGGAAUAUAGCUUGCUAUAUUUGUCAGCUAAGUGGCGCACGGGUGAGUAAUGUAUAGAUAACCUGCCCUUAAGAAAGGAAUAACAGUUGGAAACGACUGCUAAUGCCCUAUAUGCCUUUAAUACAUAAGUAUGCAAGGGAAACGCUUUAGUGCUUAAGGAUGGGUCUGUAUGGUAUCAGCUUGUUGGUGAGGUAAUGGCUCACCAAGGCUAUGACGCCUAACUGGUUUGAGAGGAUGAUCAGUCACACCGGAACUGAGACACGGUCCAGACUCCUACGGGAGGCAGCAGUGGGGAAUAUUGCACAAUGGACGAAAGUCUGAUGCAGCAACGCCGCGUGGAGGAUGACACAUUUCGGUGCGUAAACUCCUUUUAUAUAGGAAGAUAAUGACGGUACUAUAUGAAUAAGCACCGGCUAACUCCGUGCCAGCCGCCGCCUAA
Molecule: ribosomal RNA, 484 nt
Filed under: uncultured bacterium
Lineage: Bacteria
Description: partial 16S ribosomal RNA
Rfam family: Bacterial small subunit ribosomal RNA
Source: RNAcentral